CGGAUUAGGGCCGGGUUGGUUAGGCGCCUCUUUUGGGAAGAGGAAUACUUAUGUUCAAGUCAUAAUGAUCCGA
Molecule: transfer RNA, 73 nt
Filed under: Gonatophragmium mori
Lineage: Eukaryota; Fungi; Ascomycota; Dothideomycetes; Acrospermales; Acrospermaceae
Description: tRNA-Pro
Source: RNAcentral